Molecule: long non-coding RNA, 461 nt
Filed under: Equus asinus (donkey)
Lineage: Eukaryota; Metazoa; Chordata; Mammalia; Perissodactyla; Equidae
Description: lncRNA (ENSEASG00005026182.1)
Source: RNAcentral
CUUUUUGCCCCUAAGAUGAAUUUAUUUCUCAGAUCCAUGUCCCAGUUGCCUUGAAACAAACCAGCCCUUGUGAGGCAGGAAGCAGGGGGCCUCUGUGAGGGAGUCGUACCUGGAAGAGAGCGCCCCUCUGACCUUAGACCUCUCUCCAGAGCUUCAGAGCAGAGACCAGAGCCCAGAAAGGAGCAGAUGCUAGAUUUGCAAGAUCAGAAGCAGGUCUUGAUCCUCCUGCCCAGAAUGAACCAGACUUGAUGAUGAUGCCACCUUCAGGAGCCACCACACUGUGUGACAGUGGGGCAUUUGGGCCGUCCCUGGGAAGUACAGGAUCCAAGAAUGAUGAUCUGUGAAGAGUUUUCCAAGGUCACCUACUUCUAACUCUUUUGAAAGAUUUAAAGACAUUGGGCCUGAAAAUUUCAGUGACUUGUCCAGGGAAACGCAGUUUGUGACAGUUCACUCUCUCACAG